UUUUGAUUGUUGCUCAGAAAGCCGGGUGUUAGAAAGGCUUUCGGGCAAUAAUCAUUUCC
Molecule: microRNA precursor, 59 nt
Filed under: Tribolium castaneum (red flour beetle)
Lineage: Eukaryota; Metazoa; Arthropoda; Insecta; Coleoptera; Tenebrionidae
Description: Tca-Mir-315_pre stem-loop
Source: RNAcentral